RNAcentral lists this ribosomal RNA (301 nucleotides) under uncultured bacterium. Its description in RNAcentral is "partial 16S ribosomal RNA". It matches the Rfam family "Bacterial small subunit ribosomal RNA", at positions 509 to 809 of the family's 1533-position model. The record is from RNAcentral.
CAGUAGCCACGGGAAUACGAAGGGUGCAAGCGUUACUCGGAAUUACUGGGCGUAAAGCGUGCGUAGGUGGUGGUUUAAGUCCGUUGUGAAAGCCCUGGGCUCAACCUGGGAAUUGCAGUGGAUACUGGGUCACUAGAGUGUGGUAGAGGAUAGUGGAAUUUCCGGUGUAGCAGUGAAAUGCGUAGAGAUCGGAAGGAACAUCUGUGGCGAAGGCGACUAUCUGGGCCAACACUGACACUGAGGCACGAAAGCAUGGGGAGCAAACAGGAUUAGAUACCCGAGUAGUCCCUGUCUCUUAUAA